Molecule: ribosomal RNA, 650 nt
Filed under: uncultured bacterium
Lineage: Bacteria
Description: bacterial SSU rRNA
Rfam family: Bacterial small subunit ribosomal RNA
Source: RNAcentral
UGCAAGUCGAACGAGGUGUGUGGAAGGUAACGGAAGCACAUUUAGUGGCGAACGGGUGAGGAAUAGAUAGGUAACGUACCCCGGACACAGGAAUAGCGGCGUCCCGACUUGUCGGGACUUUGCGAAAGUGCCGGUAAUACCUGAUGACAUCACUGGAUCGCAUGGUCCGGUGAUCAAAGGUCCGCAGGUCUGGGAGCGGCCUAUCUCCUAUCAGCUUGUUGGUGGGGUAAUGGCCUACCAAGGCUUCAACAGGUACCAGGCGUGAGAGCGCGAUCUGGCACAUCGGGACUGAGACACUGCCCGGACAUCUACGGAUGGCUGCAGCAACGAAUAUUCCGCAAUGGGCGCAAGCCUGACGGAGCGACGCCGCGUGUAGGAUGAAGCACUUCGGUGUGUAAACUACUGUCAGGGGUUAGGAAGAAAGUGACCAACCCCAAAGGAAGCCUCGGCUAACUCCGUGCCAGCAGCCGCGGUAAUACGGAGGAGGCAAGCGUUGUUCGGAAUUACUGGGCUUAAAGCGUGCGUAGGCGGGAUGGCAGGUGUCGUGUGAAAGCCCUCGGCUCAACCGAGGAAUUGCUCGGCAAACCGUCAUUCUUGAGGCCAGCAGGGGGACCUGGAACUUUGGGUGGAGCGGUGAAAUGCGUAGAUAU